RNAcentral lists this long non-coding RNA (212 nucleotides) under Elaeis guineensis (African oil palm). Its description in RNAcentral is "long non-coding RNA (EGUI_LNC010187)". Lineage: Eukaryota; Viridiplantae; Streptophyta; Magnoliopsida; Arecales; Arecaceae. The record is from RNAcentral.
UCCCAUGAAUACUAAUUGGAGAUUUUAAUGCAACACGAUUCUCGUCUGAUGGAAAUGGCGCUACAUCCAUUCAGAACACCCCAAAACUGCUCAACAACUUUGUCAACUCACAUUCCCUGGUAGAAAUAAAAUUAUUCGAAAGAAAAUUUAUGUGGUCCAAUCUCAGAGACGACCCAACAAUGGCAACCUUGGAUCGCCGCUUCACCUCCAUC